CGCGUAGGCGGUUAAGUGUGUCUGGUGUGAAAGACUCCGGCUCAACCGGAGGACCGCGCUGGAAACUGCUUAACUAGAGUGAUGGAGGGGGAGCUGGAAUUCCUGGUGUAGGGGUGAAAUCUGUAGAGAUCAGGAAGAACACCGGAGGCGAAGGCGAGCUCCUGGCCAUAUACUGACGCUGAGGCGCGAAAGCGUGGGGAGCGAACAGGAUUAGAUACCCUGGUAGUCC
Molecule: ribosomal RNA, 229 nt
Filed under: uncultured bacterium
Lineage: Bacteria
Description: partial 16S ribosomal RNA
Rfam family: Bacterial small subunit ribosomal RNA
Source: RNAcentral